UACCCUUCUGUGACCUACCUAUCGUUGCUUCGGCGGACUCGCCCCAGCCCGGACGCGGACUGGACCAGCGGCCCGCCGGGGACCUCAAACUCUUGUAUUCCAGCAUCUUCUGAAUACGCCGCAAGGCAAAACAAAUGAAUCAAAACUUUCAACAACGGAUCUCUUGGCUCUGGCAUCGAUGAAGAACGCAGCGAAACGCGAUAAGUAAUGUGAAUUGCAGAAUCCAGUGAAUCAUCGAAUCUUUGAACGCACAUUGCGCCCGCCAGCAUUCUGGCGGGCAUGCCUGUUCGAGCGUCAUUUCAACCCUCGACCUCCCCUUGGGGAGGUCGGCGUUGGGGACCGGCAGCACACCGCCGGCCCUGAAAUGGAGUGGCGGCCCGUCCGCGGCGACCUCUGCGCAGUAAUACAGCUCGCACCGGAACCCCGACGCGGCCACGCCGUAAAACACCCAACUUCUGAACGUUGACCUCGAAUCAGGUAGGACUACCCGCUGAACUUAAGCAUAUCAAUAA
This 512-nucleotide ribosomal RNA is filed under the name Beauveria bassiana. Its description in RNAcentral is "eukaryotic LSU rRNA". The stretch from base 144 to 297 matches the Rfam family "5.8S ribosomal RNA". Lineage: Eukaryota; Fungi; Ascomycota; Sordariomycetes; Hypocreales; Cordycipitaceae. The record is from RNAcentral.